This 881-nucleotide long non-coding RNA is filed under the name Toxoplasma gondii VEG. The record is from RNAcentral. Lineage: Eukaryota; Apicomplexa; Conoidasida; Eucoccidiorida; Sarcocystidae.
GCGUCGGCUUCAGAAGCUGUUAAGGGACUCUAUCAAGUGUUGAGGGUCUGAGGGACUUCCGGAAGCACCUCACAUAUACUGAAUGGAUUCCCGUUCACCGGCAAGGAGAAUUUGAACGUUGACGACAACCGAAGAUUAUGGAGGCUUAUUCAUCUUCCGCAUACUUCUCGUGAUCUCUCAUUCAUUUUCAUUCUCGCCUGAUGAAUAAUCUUCGUUUCAUCAUACAACUAUUGCAGGUCGUGUCUGGGGGGGUCCGUGUGGCUAUUGUUGGGCACGUCUUAGGCCUGAAACAAUAAGCAGAAUGAGUGGUUGGAAUCAGGAAGCUGUUAUCGAAUGGUCCCACGGGCUCAGUUUAUCCCGUCGUCUAGCUUCAACAAGUAGCCAUGAGUGUCCCAAAGCUUCUUCUCUAGCCGUUGCCCCUAGAAAAACCAGAUGUGUACGCCAUAAUUUGUUUGGUCCAGGAUGAAUGCAGCGAGAGAGAAAAACCAACAUGGGCUGGGUAUCUGUAGUGAUGUAGGUGACCUUGAACAAUGCUGGAUCAGCUUCGUGCUGGAAAGUGGGGUUCUGAUAUGAGCGAGAGAAACGGUGUGGAGGGUUCCCAACCUAAACCUGAAUCCAUGCACUUGCUGGGGGGGGACCGGUGUAGCGGGAGAUGGGUUUUGGCUUUCCGAACAAACAAGGGCGGGUCGGCUAAAAAAGAAAAGCUUGGUAACCUGACAUAGAGAAUGGUGUGAGUCAAUCAUGAAGGCCUAGCAGCAGACAUCAGUGGAACUGGGACACCCGGAUGAAGGUGAUGUAGUACCGUAGCGGCUGAACAGUCAGCCCGUUCUGUGUGUGUGUGUGGGAUGUUUUGUCAUUGCUUACGUGGCCGCGUGUAGAGG